RNAcentral lists this ribosomal RNA (1442 nucleotides) under Roseimarinus sediminis. Its description in RNAcentral is "16S ribosomal RNA". It matches the Rfam family "Bacterial small subunit ribosomal RNA". Lineage: Bacteria; Pseudomonadati; Bacteroidota; Bacteroidia; Marinilabiliales; Prolixibacteraceae. The record is from RNAcentral.
GAUGAACGCUAGCGGGAGGCUUAACACAUGCAAGUCGAACGGUAAGGUCCCUUCGGGGAUACACGAGUGGCGCACGGGUGAGUAACGCGUAUGCAACCUACCUUUUACAGGGGAAUAGCCCAGAGAAAUUUGGAUUAAUGUCCCAUGGUUCUGUAAUGUCGCAUGGCAUAACAGAUAAAGUUACGGCGGUAAAAGAUGGGCAUGCGUGACAUUAGCUAGUUGGCGGGGUAACGGCCCACCAAGGCUACGAUGUCUAGGGGUUCUGAGAGGAUGAUCCCCCACACUGGUACUGAGACACGGACCAGACUCCUACGGGAGGCAGCAGUGAGGAAUAUUGGUCAAUGGGCGCAAGCCUGAACCAGCCAUCCCGCGUGAAGGACGACUGCCCUAUGGGUUGUAAACUUCUUUUCUGUUCCAAGAACGUAUUCUACGUGUAGGAUAGUGACGGUAGAACAGGAAUAAGCAUCGGCUAACUCCGUGCCAGCAGCCGCGGUAAUACGGAGGAUGCGAGCGUUAUCCGGAUUCAUUGGGUUUAAAGGGUGCGUAGGCGGCGUUUUUAAGUUAUGGUGAAAUCCUGCGGCUCAACCGUAGAACUGCCAUUAAAACUGAAGAGCUUGAAUACACUUGAGGUAGGCGGAAUGAGUAGUGUAGCGGUGAAAUGCUUAGAUAUUACUCAGAACACCAAUUGCGAAGGCAGCUUACCAAAGUGAUAUUGACGCUGAGGCACGAAAGCGUGGGGAGCGAACAGGAUUAGAUACCCUGGUAGUCCACGCCGUAAACGAUGUUCACUCGCUGUUUGCGAUAUACAGUAAGCGGCCAAGCGAAAGCAUUAAGUGAACCACCUGGGGAGUACGUCGGCAACGGUGAAACUCAAAGGAAUUGACGGGGCCCGCACAAGCGGAGGAACAUGUGGUUUAAUUCGAUGAUACGCGAGGAACCUUACCUGGGCUUAAAUGUAGAUUGCAUGAGGUGGAAACACCCUUCCCUUCGGGGCUAUUUACAAGGUGCUGCAUGGUUGUCGUCAGCUCGUGCCGUGAGGUGUCGGGUUAAGUCCCAUAACGAGCGCAACCCCUAUCGUUAGUUGCCAUCAGGUUAAGCUGGGAACUCUAACGAGACUGCCACCGUAAGGUGAGAGGAAGGUGGGGAUGACGUCAAAUCAGCACGGCCCUUAUGUCCAGGGCUACACACGUGUUACAAUGGCAGGUACAAAGGGCAGCUACACCGCGAGGUGAUGCUAAUCUCUAAAGCCUGUCUCAGUUCGGAUCGAAGUCUGCAACCCGACUUCGUGAAGUUGGAUUCGCUAGUAAUCGGAUAUCAGCCAUGAUCCGGUGAAUACGUUCCCGGGCCUUGUACACACCGCCCGUCAAACCAUGGAAGCUGGGGGGACCUGAAGUCUGUCACCGCAAGGAGCGGCCUAGGGUAAAACCGGUAACUGGGGUUAA